CCUACGGGUGGCAGCAGUGAGGAAUAUUGGUCAAUGGGCGGGAGCCUGAACCAGCCAAGCCGCGUGAGGGAAGAAGGUACAGCGUAUCGUAAACCUCUUUUGUCAGGGAACAAAGGCGGGGACUAGUCCCCGGAUGCGGGUACCUGAAGAAAAAGCAUCGGCUAACUCCGGGCCAGCAGCCGCGGUAAUCCGGAGGAUGCGAGCGUUAUCCGGAUUUAUUGGGGUUAAAGGGUGCGCAGGGGGCCUGUUAAGUCAGCGGUAAAAGCCUGGGGCUAAACCUCGAAGAGCCGUUGAAACUGGCGGGCUGGAGUGGAAGAGAGGUACGCGGAAUGCGCGGUGUAGCGGUGAAAUGCUUAGAUAUCGCGCAGAACCCCGAUGGCGAAGGCAGCGUACCG
This 395-nucleotide ribosomal RNA is filed under the name uncultured bacterium. RNAcentral's name for it is "partial 16S ribosomal RNA". It matches the Rfam family "Bacterial small subunit ribosomal RNA", at positions 338 to 731 of the family's 1533-position model. The record is from RNAcentral.